UUAUUCCUGAAGUGUGCGCCAGCGCCCUGUUUUUACCCACAUUUCACUCUACGGAGCCCUCGUCGGAGAGCGGAUGUCAUGCCCCCGUGGAGACACGCCAGGGGACGGCAGAAACUCGAUGCCGGGCACCGGCCUGCUUUACAUAGCGGGUGAAAAAAUGGGACGCAGCGGCACUUUGGGGUAGCC
This 186-nucleotide non-coding RNA is filed under the name Clostridiales bacterium. RNAcentral describes it as "6S RNA". It matches the Rfam family "6S / SsrS RNA". Rfam says of the family: E. coli 6S RNA was the first non coding RNA to be sequenced, but its function was unknown until recently. It consists of 184 nucleotides that fold into an extended hairpin structure with a large single-stranded internal bulge. The record is from RNAcentral. Lineage: Bacteria; Bacillati; Bacillota; Clostridia; Eubacteriales.